AGAGUUUGAUCAUGGCUCAGGAUGAACGCUAGCGGCAGGCCUAAUACAUGCAAGUCGAACGCUCAGUAGCAAUACUGGGAGUGGCGCACGGGUGCGUAACGCGUACACAAUCUACCUCUAAGCGGGGGACACCUCCUGGAAACGGGGAUUAAUACCGCAUAAUAUGCCGAGGUCGCAUGACUUUGGUAUUAAAGCAGCAAUGCACUUAGAGAUGAGUGUGCGUCCCAUUAGGUAGUUGGUGAGGUAACGGCUCACCAAGCCUAUGAUGGGUAGCCGGUCUGAGAGGAUGGUCGGCCACACGGGCACUGAGACACGGGCCCGACUCCUACGGGAGGCAGCAGUAAGGAAUAUUGGUCAAUGGUGGAAACACUGAACCAGCCAUGCCGCGUGGGGAAUAAGGUCCUACGGAUUGUAAACUCCUUUUGACGAGGAAGAAAGUGUUAGAUUUAUCUAAUUUUGACGGUACUCGUAGAAUAAGCACCGGCUAACUCCGUG
This 495-nucleotide ribosomal RNA is filed under the name uncultured bacterium. Its description in RNAcentral is "bacterial SSU rRNA". It matches the Rfam family "Bacterial small subunit ribosomal RNA", at positions 8 to 507 of the family's 1533-position model. The record is from RNAcentral.